RNAcentral lists this ribosomal RNA (408 nucleotides) under uncultured bacterium. RNAcentral's name for it is "partial 16S ribosomal RNA". It matches the Rfam family "Bacterial small subunit ribosomal RNA", at positions 29 to 526 of the family's 1533-position model. The record is from RNAcentral.
AGUGAACGCUGGCGGCGUGCCUAAUACAUGCAAGUCGAACGAAGUGGCGCACGGGUGAGUAAUAUAUAGUUAAUCGGCCCUACACAGAGGAACAACAGUUGGAAACGACUGCUAAUACCCCAUAGUGUAGGAUGAGACUAUAUCGUAUCAGCUAGUUGGUGAGGUAAUGGCUUACCAAGGCUAUGACGCGUAACUGGUCUGAGAGGAUGAGCAGUCACCUUGUAACUGAGACACGGUCCAGACUCCUUCGGGAAGCAGCGGUAAGGAAUAGUGCGCAAUGGGGGAGACCGUGACGGGGCAUCGCCGCGUGAAAUAUUGCUCUUUGCGAAGCAUAGACUCCUUAUUUCAGGAAAACGGUACCUGAUGAAGAAGCACCGGCUAACUCCGUGCCAGCAGCCGCGGUAAUAC